GUUUUCUGCUUCUCCAUCUCUUUCUCCUAGAAAAAAAAAGUCUCAGGGAAAUAUCUGUCUCCCAGCUUCUGCUGCUCCUUCCCUAUCUCUAUCUGUCUUCUGUCCACAUUCGCCUCCAGGAAAUUCACUGGACUGAGCUCUGGGUUCCGCGGAGCAGAGAAAGGAGACAGAAUUAAAAUUAAAGGAAGGGAAAUAGCAGCUGAUGCCAGAGGUAAAAGUGAAUUUCCUAGCAGUGCCAAGUCAGCAGGGAGGAUCGUAUUUGGUGAACAACAGAGACUGUGUAAAAGACUAAGAAGGAGAGGAUCAAAAUGAUGCUCAUUUGUCAACUUCACACAAAUUGAAAAAGUGGCCAACCAAGGAAUUGUUUUUCUUACUGACAGAAAUAUAUGGGAAGAAUCAAGGACUGCCCCCCACCAAAAAAAAAAAAAAAAAAAAAAAGGAA
Ictidomys tridecemlineatus (thirteen-lined ground squirrel) is the source of this 442-nucleotide non-coding RNA. NCBI's taxonomy places the organism in Eukaryota, Metazoa, Chordata, Mammalia, Rodentia, Sciuridae. The record is from RefSeq and is a predicted model, not a curated record.